UCUGCUGCACUCUCUGCUCAUCCAGGAGCAACCUCUGCAGUCCCAUCAGACAGUGCAACAGCCCUGCCGCUAGCCUCCUGCCAUCUGGAAUUAGCUCCCUGGAUUUCCCUGCUCCCUCCAGCUAUAUCCAAAAAUUCAACACAGUUCAGUCCGUGCUCCAUAAGGCAGACAGGAGAGACCCCUGACAUCAGCCUCUCAGGCUCUAAGAGUCAGUGACCUGGAGACGUCCAACUAGCUGUUCUCCAACAUCUCCUAUGUUAUGGGCCAGAAUUGCCCCACUCCAGAUGAUGACACAUCACACGACAGGAUUAACUCUUCAUCCAGCUCAAAAUGAAUGAGGAGGAGCUCAGAGGACUUGACAGAACAAGGAGCAAUGGUCUCAAAUUGCAGUGGGGAAGGUUUAGAUGUCGCUGUUGCAGAAGAGAUGGCCCAGGGAUGCCCGAGCCCGACUACGCGAAGAAAAGAGAACUGGAGGGGACAGAGCGGCUGGGGGACGGAUUGAAAUGCAUUUCAGAAAGCAGGGGAGACCUGGACCACAAUCACGGGGCCGUUUUUGUCACAGGUCCCAGUGCUGAAGGGCAGCGAGAACAAAGGAACCCAGAAGCCCUCUAUUCAAAUGCAAAUAAAUCUUUGCCUAUCUUUUAAUACGCUGCUCUUGUGACAACUGUAAGGUGUCAGGGUAACCACUUCCUGUGCUGAAUGAAGCUGGGUAGCAAUCUGGCUUACUGGAAACGGGAGAGUUAAAAGUUACCACUUCAGAUUGAAAAACAACACAAGCUCAGCAUUCAACCAAUCAGCGGCUGGCCUCAAACACCUGGAGCAGAAUUCCUUGGGGAGCAGGUGGCCACACUGUUACCUUCCUCCACAUGCUCAGCUCAAGUAUUUUAUUGCUGACUUGCACAAGAAGCCCCGGCACUUGACUAAUUUUAUGAAUCAGUAAGGAGGAAGAUUAUAAAAGAGUAAGCAAGCAAAACAAAAGCUGUGGUUUGCCCUUGGGGCGGUUGCUGUUUGACUGGGCUCAGGCAAUGUGAGUCACGUUGACAAUACAGUAAUCUCAUGAAGCAGUUCAAGAAUUUCGAUGCCAAUUUGUUCUUCGGAAUUAAUCAGCUGUGAUCACAUUCCAGCCAACUUUUCACUAAAACUCUUGACUGUUACCUUAGAAAGGAGACAAAGAAGAGGGGACAUGAUAAAAGGCUAUAUAAUGCUGACCGGACUGGAGAAAGGUGGCCAGCUCUGAUCUCCCUGUCUCAUAGCACAAGAAGAAGGGGACGGGAAAGGCAGCUGAGAGGUGGAUAAAUUCAACACCAAUAAAAGGGAAUACUUUUUUCACAAAACGCAUAAUUAAUCUGCGGAACCCACUGCCACAGGAUGUUGUUGAGGCCAAGAAUUGAGCAAGAUGCAAAAAGAGAAUGGACAUUUCUAUGGAAAAUGAUAAUAUCCAGAGUUAGACUAGAUAAUAAUUAAAAAAAAGAGUAUUGGGAGGGAGAUAAAACCUGCAGCUGUAGGGUUAAAGCCAUUUUCUAACUAUUAGAGAACAGGAUGAGACGUAAUGUAGAGGGCAGAUUAUCCCACAUCUGCUGCUGCAGGAUUCUUCCACCUUUCUCUGAAACAUCAGCUACUGGCUACUGUCAGAGACAGGAGUUUGGACCAGAUGAACCUCGGGUCUGAUC
Long non-coding RNA from Mauremys reevesii (Reeves's turtle), 1670 nucleotides. RefSeq lists it as uncharacterized. The transcript is spliced from 3 exons. NCBI's taxonomy places the organism in Eukaryota, Metazoa, Chordata, Testudines, Geoemydidae. The record is from RefSeq and is a predicted model, not a curated record.